GUCGAUCCUAAGCUGAGGCCGAAAGGCGUAGGUGAAGGACAAGCAGGUUAAUAUUCCUGCACCACAGGUUGUCGUUAUGAGCGAUGGAGUAGCGGAGAAAGGUAAGUCAACCGAGGUAUUGGUUAUCCCUCGGCCUGCGCCGUAGGUUGUCCAGGCAGGAAAAUCCACUUGGAUAUAACUGAGGGCGUGAGGGGAGCCGCAAGGUGAAGUGACCCAACUAUGCUUCCUAGAAAAACUUCUAGCCAGACAGCUGGUGAUCGUACCGCAAUCCAACACAGGUAGAUAGGGAGAAGACUCCCAAGGCGUUCGAAAGAACUCUGGUCAAGGAACUAGGCAAAAAAGCCCCGUAACUUCGGAAGAAGGGGUACCCCAGGGGUGUGGAAAGGUCUCUUUCCAUAUCUAGCAUGGGGUCACAGGAAAUAGAGUCAGGCGACUGUUUAACAAAAACACAGGUCUGUGCUUAAGUAGGAAUACCACGUAUACAGGCUGACGCCUGCCCAGUGCUGGAAGGUUAAGAGGAGAGGUUAGCGCAAGCGAAGCUUUGAAUCGAAGCCCCAGUGAACGGCGGCCGUAACUCUAACGGUCCUAAGGUAGCGAAAUACCUUGUCGGGUAAGUUCCGACGCGCAUGAAUGGCGUAACGAUCUGACUGCUGUCUCGACCAGAGAUUCGGUGAAAUAGCAGUGCCCGUGAAGAUGCGGGCUACCUGCGGCAGGACGGGAAGACCCCGUAGAGCUUUACUGUACCCUGACAUUGGAAUUUGAUUUGAUCUGUGCAGGAUAGGUGGGAGGCUUUGAAGCCGGAGCGCUAGCUUCGGUGGAGCCAACGUUGAGAUACCACUCUCUUCACAUUAGAUUUCUAACUGACAGCCUUGAAUCAGGCGUCAGGACAAUGCCAGGCGGGCAGUUUGACUGGGGCGGUCGCCUCCUAAAAGGUAACGGAGGCGCCCAAAGGUCUGCUCAGCGUGUUUGGAAACCACGCAAAGAGUGCAAAGGCAUAAGCAGGCUUAACUGCAUAGGUCGACGGACCAAGCAGAUGGGAAACCAGGGCUUAGUGACCCGACGGUUGCGAAUGGAAGCGCCGGAGCUCAACGGAUAAAAGUUACCUCGGGGAUAACAGGCUUAUUGCUCCCAAGCGUUCACAGCGACGGGGCAGUUUGGCACCUCGAUGUCGGCUCGUCUCAUCCUGGGGCUGUAUAAGGUCCCAAGGGUUGGGCUGUUCGCCCAUUAAAGAGGCACGUGAGCUGGGUUCAGAACGUCGUGAGACAGUUCGGUCCUUAUCCGCCGCAGGCGUUGGAGAAUUGAUGGAUGCUGCCCUUAGUACGAGAGGACCAGGGCAGAGGAACCUCUGAUGUACCAGUUAUCACACCAGUGGUAGGCGCUGGGUAGUUAUGUUCCGUUGGAUAAACACUGAAGGCAUCUAAGUGUGAAGCCAUUCCAAAGAUGAGUUCUCCCGCCUCUAGAAGGCAUAAGACCUCCGGAAGACUACCGGGUUGAUAGGCACAAGCUGUAAGCGCAGCAAUGCGUUGAGGUGAUGUGUACUAAUAGGUCGAAGGCUUAGCUU
This 1561-nucleotide ribosomal RNA is filed under the name metagenome. RNAcentral describes it as "bacterial LSU rRNA". It matches the Rfam family "Bacterial large subunit ribosomal RNA", at positions 1383 to 2925 of the family's 2925-position model. The record is from RNAcentral.